This 464-nucleotide ribosomal RNA is filed under the name uncultured bacterium. RNAcentral's name for it is "bacterial SSU rRNA". It matches the Rfam family "Bacterial small subunit ribosomal RNA", at positions 338 to 794 of the family's 1533-position model. The record is from RNAcentral.
CCUACGGGGCGCAGCAGUAGGGAAUCUUCGGCAAUGGACGAAAGUCUGACCGAGCAACGCCGCGCGAGUGAAGAAGGUUUUCGGAUCGUAAAACUCUGUUGUUAGAGAAGAACAAGUAGAAGAGUAACUGCUCUUACCUUGACGGUAUCUAACCAGAAAGCCACGGCUAACUACGUGCCAGCAGCCGCGGUAAUACGUAGGUGGCAAGCGUUGUCCGGAUUUAUUGGGCGUAAAGCGAGCGCAGGCGGUUUCUUAAGUCUGAUGUGAAAGCCCCCGGCUCAACCGGGGAGGGUCAUUGGAAACUGGGAGACUUGAGUGCAGAAGAGGAGAGUGGAAUUCCAUGUGUAGCGGUGAAAUGCGUAGAUAUAUGGAGGAACACCAGUGGCGAAGGCGGCUCUCUGGUCUGUAACUGACGCUGAGGCUCGAAAGCGUGGGGAGCAAACAGGAUUAGAUACCCGCGUAGU